AAAAGAAACUAACAAGGAUUCCCUCAGUAACGGCGAGUGAAGCGGGAUAAGCCCAGCACCGAAUCCCCCAGCCUGUCGUUGGCGGGAACUGUGGUGUAUGGGACGCCAACUGUCGUCCGCGCCGGUGGCCGAAGUCCUCCUGAUCGGGGCCUCUCCCAGAGUGGGUGUCAGGCCUUUACUGGCCACUGUCCGGUCGGCCGCGAGCGUCUCCGGAGUCGGGUUGUUUGGGAAUGCAGCUCUAAGCGGGUGGUAAACUCCAUCUAAGGCUAAAUACUGGCACGAGUCCGAUAGCGGACAAGUACCGUGAGGG
RNAcentral lists this ribosomal RNA (310 nucleotides) under Bayerotrochus midas. RNAcentral describes it as "eukaryotic LSU rRNA". It matches the Rfam family "Eukaryotic large subunit ribosomal RNA", at positions 57 to 359 of the family's 3401-position model. The record is from RNAcentral. Lineage: Eukaryota; Metazoa; Mollusca; Gastropoda; Pleurotomariida; Pleurotomariidae.